This 411-nucleotide long non-coding RNA is filed under the name Physcomitrium patens. RNAcentral's name for it is "long non-coding RNA (PPAT_LNC004882)". Lineage: Eukaryota; Viridiplantae; Streptophyta; Bryopsida; Funariales; Funariaceae. The record is from RNAcentral.
UAAAGAAAUAUUAGAAGAAUUACAAAUAUCAUUCAAAUACAUCUCAAUUCAAUCUUAAUUUAAUUCUAGUUAAAAUCCUAUUGAACUUCAUUCAAACUUUAGGCCAAAUCUAAUUGAAUCUUAAAUCCUAAUAAAAUCCUAAAUCCUAAAUCAAAUCCUAAGCAAACCUUAAACUAAAUCCCAAUAAAAUCUUAAACCAAAUCCUAAUCAAAUCCUAAACCAAAUCCUAAACCCUAAAUCAAACCCUAAAUAAAUCCUAAAUCAUAAACCAAAUCCGAACUAAAUCCUAACUAAAUCCUAAAUCCUAAAUCAAAUCUUAAUCAAAUCCUAAAUCCUAAAUCAAACCCUAAUAAAAUCCUAAAUCCUAAACCAAAUCCUAAAUCCUAAAUAAAUCCUAACCAAACUCUAAAC